GGAGUCUACAAGUUUUGUCCGCCACAUGACGGACUCGCGGGUCUUAAGCGCUCUGAUAUCUGCGCUGGCCUCAAAUCGCCACCAGCUUUUAGUGCGAAUUGCUCGGGCUCGCUCAUGGGCACGCAGGUCACUGCCCGCCUGAGGCGGGCACUACAGCUUCAGGUGACUUUUAAAGAGAGCGAGGAGGUAAAGGGGGCUGUCCUAGCCGGAAAGGCAAAUUCCAGUACUCAUAUUCGUCUCCAUUAAACAUAUGUGCAAAUUUCCAAAACACGACCUGGUCACUCUUCUCUGAAUCCAAGGGUUCAGUUUUUUUGGAGGGCGAGCCGGUUCGGGAGGCCUCUGCAGAAGUGAGGGCAGCAACUUGUCGUGGAAUGGAUGCGCAACGAACACCAACAAGAAAAAAAGGGACGAGUUUUUGGCUACAAGAAGAGUGAGGCACCAUACUGGAAUUCGCAAAAGACGAAACGGACGGUUCGGCCUUGUUCGGUGUGCCACCUACAAACGUUUUGAGCCAUCAUUGUAGUCGAAUUAAAUUCGGGUACUAAAGCGCAAAGCUCCGUUGGGAACACAAGAGCGCUAAAAAAACGGCAACGGCAUCACUCGUUUGUGUGCUCUCACACCCACGUUUCCCUGUCAGUACCUAAGUCUGUGCUGUGGGAUGUCUGCCUUUUUGAAAGCCACCAGAUGUCCUCUGUUAGAGUCUCAAAGACGAUCCGAAAGUUGGAACUAACAGACAGGAACUGCUCCGAUUCACAAGCAUCUUCAACAAAUGUAUAACUGGUGCUACCAAUACAAAACAGGUAUAAACACGAUUGCCUUUUGUGUCCUGACGCGUUCAUCUCAUUAUUUGGACAGCCGGAGCUCGCAUUCUAGUGUAUAUCUGCAUUGAUGGUACUUUGGCAAGUUUGCGACAACGCUCAAAGAAUGGAUUCGCCCUGUCUACAGCAGCAUAAGGAAAGAGCAUCAGGCCCUUGAGUUCUCGAACUUUAUCCCUGGAUCGAUACUUCAAGAAGGAG
RNAcentral lists this long non-coding RNA (1016 nucleotides) under Toxoplasma gondii VEG. The record is from RNAcentral. Lineage: Eukaryota; Apicomplexa; Conoidasida; Eucoccidiorida; Sarcocystidae.